GCAUCCUGAUGAAAAACAACAAAUAUAUAUAUAUAUGAUUUUAUAGUUAGCUUGUGAAGCUAAAAUUUUAUGAGUUAUAUAUUCUUUCUAAAUUAAGAAUGACAAUAGAGCUAAGAUUAAUUUCUCUUUCUGGGCAUGUAAAAAGGAAGAUAGCAUAAAAUUGCUCAUCAAACUAAUACAUCUGGAAUUUUUUUUAUUUAACGGUUCUAAGAUAACAUUUCUAUUAUGUUUUCAGUUCACUUAAUCAAGUGACAAAUAUAAAUCUCAUUGUACUAUGUAUUUUUACAAAAGCUUUCACCUGAUCUAAAUUUAUGUGAUGAAAACAGAGUCUAUGUUUUCCCUUUCAAUACACGAACUUUAAAAUGAUACAAAGAAUUCACAUAAAAACCCUUCCCUAAAUUGUGUAUCCAGAAACAUGUAUGGAAUAGUGAUUUUUAAAUCAGAUACUGUAUCUAAGAUUGUAAACAGUCUAAAAAAUUAAAUCAAGUGUGUAAAUAAUCAUUAAUUUUUGCCCUAGUCAUAGCAAAGAAAAAAAUGUACAGCUCUAUCAAUAUAAAAAGAUAUCACAGAAGAGUUCACAUACAUAUACCAAACAACUAAUUAAAGGAUAUUGUAUUCUAAAAGAGUUAUUCUUAGGUCAAAAUUUAGUAGUCCAAAAAUUGUUAACAAGAAAGCUAACUAACUGAUGAUGACCUGUCAUUUUCUAGAAGUUGUGGCUGUUUAUUUACACAAGAGAAUUGGUAAAUUUUACUUAUCAUUUCUUAAAAUUUUAAAAGAAGAUUUGGAUAAUUGAAUUGGAUCAAAUUAAUUUGCAAUUUCAAGAGAACAUUAGUUUGAUCAAUUUUUUGAAACCAUAAAAAUAUUUUUCAAAUAAGCACACACAAUGGACAAUAAAAGAAAUGACAGAAUUAAGAUAUUUUAAUUAUGACUAUUGCUAUACUUUGGAAAAGUGUACAGAGGGAAAUUCCCAGAGAGCACUAAAAAGAAAAAAACCUACUGAAAAAUUCUGAAAGUCUGUUCUGUGCCCAAUCUCUGAGAUCAAGUCACCAAUUAAUUAACAUUGAGGAGCUAUUAGGAUGUGAGGUUCCUUUGUGGACCUCACCUUUUCCCCACUUUCUAGAGCCUUCCAUUUGUGCACAGUUUACAUAUCCUUAUUCAAUACACAUUAUUUUUCUAAUUAUAUUGAAGUAUAGUUGAUUUACAGUGUUACUUUUUUCAGUACAGUGGUACAGCCAAGUGACUCAGUUCAUAUAUAUAUAUAUACACAUAUACACACACACAUAUAUAUGUAUAUAUCCUUUUCAUGUUCUUUUCCAUUAUGAUUUAUCACAGGAUAUUGAAUACAGUUCCCUGUGCUACACAGUAAGACCUUGUUGUUUAUCAGUCCUAAAUGUACUAUAGAAGACAAAGAUUCUCUUGCAACAAUUUUUUACAUAAAAGCACAGCUGUAUAUCAAUUUGCUAUAGAUAUGGGUAUAUAAAGAAAAGGGACACUUGGGAGCUCAAUUUGAUGAUUUACUUACUCAACUGACAGAUACUUGAGGAAU
This 1546-nucleotide long non-coding RNA is filed under the name Bos taurus (domestic cattle). Its description in RNAcentral is "long non-coding RNA NONBTAT000276". Lineage: Eukaryota; Metazoa; Chordata; Mammalia; Artiodactyla; Bovidae. The record is from RNAcentral.